Molecule: ribosomal RNA, 512 nt
Filed under: uncultured bacterium
Lineage: Bacteria
Description: bacterial SSU rRNA
Rfam family: Bacterial small subunit ribosomal RNA
Source: RNAcentral
AGAGUUGAUCAUGGCUCAGGAUGAACGCUAGCGGCAGGCUUAACACAUGCAAGUCGAGGGCAGCGAGGGUAGCAAUACCUGUCGGCGACCGGCGGAAGGGUGCGUAACGCGUGAGCAACAUGCCCGUAUCAGGGGGAUAAACCAUGGAAACGUGGUCUAAUACCGCAUAACAUUGGAGAGAGGCAUCUUUUUCCAAUUAAAAUCGAGAUGGAUACGGAUUGGCUCGCGAGACAUUAGUUAGUUGGCGGGGUAACGGCCACCAAGACGACGAUGUCUAGGGGUUCUGAGAGGAAGGUCCCCCACACUGGAACUGAGACACGGUCCAGACUCCUACGGGAGGCAGCAGUGAGGAAUAUUGGACAAUGGAUGGAAAUCUGAUCCAGCCAUGCCGCGUGAAAGGAGACGGUCCUAUGGAUUGUAAACUUCUUUUGUAUGGGAGCAAUAAGGUGUACGCGUACACCGAUGAGAGUACCAUACGAAUAAGCAUCGGCUAACUCCGUGCCAGCCGCUGC